AACGAACGCUGGCGGCAUGCCUAACACAUGCAAGUCGAACGGGAUCCUAGCUUGCUAGGUGAGAGUGGCGGACGGGUGAGUAACACGUGGGAAUCUGCCUUUUGGUUCGGGAUAACCGCGGGAAACUGCGGCUAAUACCGAAUGCCCUCGAGAGAGGAAAGAUUUAUCGCCAGAAGAGGAGCCCGCGUCCGAUUAGGUAGUUGGUGGGGUAAAAGGCCUACCAAGCCGACGAUCGGUAGCUGGUCUGAGAGGAUGAUCAGCCACACUGGGACUGAGAUACGGCCCAGACUCCUACGGGAGGCAGCAGUGGGGAAUAUUGGACAAUGGGGGCAACCCUGAUCCAGCAAUGCCGCGUGAGUGAUGAAGGCCUUAGGUUGUAAAGCUCUUUGCCAGGGAAGAGUGAUGACUGUACCGUGGAGAAUAAGCCCCGGCUAACUUCGUG
RNAcentral lists this ribosomal RNA (442 nucleotides) under uncultured bacterium. Its description in RNAcentral is "bacterial SSU rRNA". It matches the Rfam family "Bacterial small subunit ribosomal RNA", at positions 29 to 507 of the family's 1533-position model. The record is from RNAcentral.